AUUGAACGCUGGCGGCAUGCUUUACACAUGCAAGUCGAACGGUAACAGGCCUUCGGGUGCUGACGAGUGGCGAACGGGUGAGUAAUGCAUCGGAACGUACCCAGAGGUGGGGGAUAACGCAGCGAAAGCUGUGCGAAUCCCGCAUGUGAUCUUAGGAUGAAAGCGGGGGACCGAGCAGCAAUGUUUGGCCUCGACCCUUUGGAGCGGCCGAUGUCGGAUUAGCUAGUUGGUGGGGUAAAGGCCUACCAAGGCGACGAUCCGUAGCUGGUCUGAGAGGACGACCAGCCACACUGUGACUGAGACACGGCCCAGACUCCUACGGGAGGCAGCAGUGGGGAAUUUUGGACAAUGGGCGCAAGCCUGAUCCAGCAAUGCCGCGUGCGGGAAGAAGGCCUUCGGGUUGUAAACCGCUUUUGGCAGGAACGAAACGGUGUCCGCUAAUACCGGGCGCUAAUGACGGUACCUGCAGAAUAAGCACCGGCUAACUACGUG
RNAcentral lists this ribosomal RNA (492 nucleotides) under uncultured bacterium. RNAcentral describes it as "partial 16S ribosomal RNA". It matches the Rfam family "Bacterial small subunit ribosomal RNA", at positions 30 to 507 of the family's 1533-position model. The record is from RNAcentral.